Ziziphus jujuba (common jujube) is the source of this 2158-nucleotide long non-coding RNA. RefSeq lists it as uncharacterized. Lineage: Eukaryota; Viridiplantae; Streptophyta; Magnoliopsida; Rosales; Rhamnaceae. The transcript is spliced from 7 exons. The record is from RefSeq and is a predicted model, not a curated record.
UUCUCUAUCUCCAAAAUCUGAGAAUAUGAUAUAUUCAGAUCCUUGAUCUUUUGGGUUUCAUAAGCGUAAGCCACAGCCAAAAAUAAAAAAAAUAAGAAAAUAAAAAAGAGUAAAACAAAUGGGAGGUCAUGAUUUUUAUAUUACCAAAGCUGCGUCUUUUACAUCUACUCUGUUCGAUUAUUCUGCUUUGCAAGCUUUGGACUAGCAGCCACAUCUAAGAUUCACAGUGAAGAAGUUAAUGCUUUGAGAGAAAUAGGGAGGGAACUGGAGAAUAAAGAUUGGAUUUAGGGGAAGGACCAUCCAAUGGAGAAGGAAACUGGGCGCAAGAACAUGGGCUGAAAGGCUUUGAGAACUCAGUGAUCUGUAACUGCAGCUUCAACCACAAUUCCUUUUUACCAUGUGGUAACUGGGCUUUAAGGGCACAGAACCUGUUAGGAAAUGCUCCACCAGGGUUCUCUAAGCUCCAUUACCUCAAAAUAUUGAAUCUCGGUUGAAACUGUCUCAAUAGUACUAUACCUCAUGAAUGGACUACAAUGCGCUUGUUUUCUAGCUGUAAGUACCUCUGCUACUUCUACUUUUAUUAUGGUUUGACAGUUUCCAUUCCUUAAAUCAACUUAUAGCAUUAAACACUUCUUUUUCAUCAAAUAUGCAGCUCUUUGAUAGAGAACAUGUUAUCAGGACCAUUUCCAAAAGUUCACACCAAUAUUACCACCCUCACAGACCUGAAUGUUUAAUGCUUCCCUUUAUUCUGAUACCAAUGACUUCAUAGAUAGCUGAUAAAAGAGUGCUGGUUGGCAGCUUGACACAGCGUGGUUUGACUUUGUCAGCUGGACCAAUUCCACCUGAAAUUUGGAAGCUGACCAAUUUACAGAAACUAUAAUGAACUUCCUUUUUACCUUAGGUUCCCAAAGAGUAGGAGGAUAAAUGACACUGAUUUCUGGGAAUUGGACACUGAUUGAAAAACUGUAAGCUCCCUACCAUUAUUUCUAUCAUUAAUCAUAGUUAUAAUUAGAGUAGCUGAUCUGGAAAAUUUUCAUUCUUUCUUUUAGGAUAUGGGGGUUGUUCUCUAAAGGGCCGGUACCUUGUAGCAUUUAUGCCUUAACAAAAUUAGCUGAUCUGUAUGCAAUUGUAAAAUCUGUCUUCUUUUUUUUUUCUUUUUUUUCUUUUUUUUUUUCGUGUUCAAACAAGAAGAGUAUAUAUAACUGCACUGUGUUUACCACAUCUGUGAUUUUGGGAGGACAACUGACUUAAAAGGCAAAGAAUCUCCUUUCCCAACAUUGGCUAAAAUGCAAUCAAUGAAAUCGCUGAUGCUUUAGAGCAUCUAAGCUUUUGCUGUCUGGACCUUCUCAAGCAUCUUAGCCUUUUGUCACGUUAUGUGCAAAAGGGAUGGAAUCCUCGAGGCUACACUCUCCACUCUCCUUGAGAAUUCAAGAAAAGUUUGGAAUAUUCUAGAGAACGCAAGAAAAAUUUAGACAUAUAGAAAGGAAUCUCUUUAGAAUAGUUCAUGUCAAUAUCUAGUAGAAUAGUCUAUCAUCUCAAUUAGAUUUAUGCCAUGUUUACAUAUCUGGAACCUUAUAAGCCAUCUAUAUAAAAGGGUUGGAUCAUCCAAGAAUCCUUGUAAUACAAAUCCUUUACAUUUUCUCAAACUCUCUCAAUAUCUUUUACUUCCUACUUUACUUCUCUCAGCUUAGUGCCACACGGGAAUGUUAAGAGAGUUAGGCCCAUGACAUUUUGUUCUUUUGACCUUCGCUAGGAAGGUAUUUUUGCUCUUUAAGUUUGUUUGAAGCAUACCAAGGAACUUCUCUUUUGCUGUCCAUGCGUUAUUCUUGACCAUGUUCCAUACCAACUUACAUUUACUGCCACAAAAAAAUAAUAAUAAAUAAAUAAAUAAAAAUUCAAACACCAGACUCCAUCCGAUCAAAAAUAAAUUUUUCAAACCCAUUCAACCAAAUAUCAGUCACCCCAAACUCAUCUAAUAGUAAAAAAAUGGUGAAAUGUUUGCUUAACACUGACCCACAAGGAAGUAGAUGGAGUCGACUAGGUUGCAUAUGGAAUGUUCUCGCUUGCAUGAAAACUGAUGUGUUGUAAUGCCAACUAUGGCAUAGAAAGCCAGAAAAAGCAUCAAAACUGAUGUGUUGUAAUGCCGAUUAUGGCAUAG